CAGUAGCCACGGUAAUACGGAGGGUGCAAGCGUUAAUCGGAAUUACUGGGCGUAAAGCGCACGCAGGCGGUCUGACAAGUCAGAUGUGAAAACCCCGGGCUUAACCUGGGAACUGCAUUUGAAACUGUCAGGCUGGAGUCUUGUAGAGGGGGGUGGAAUUCCAGGUGUAGCGGUGAAAUGCGUAGAGAUCUGGAGGAAUACCGGUGGCGAAGGCGGCCCCCUGGACAAAGACUGACGCUCAGGUGCGAAAGCGUGGGGAGCAAACAGGAUUAGAUACCCCUGUAGUCCCUGUCUCUUAUAA
This 301-nucleotide ribosomal RNA is filed under the name uncultured bacterium. Its description in RNAcentral is "partial 16S ribosomal RNA". It matches the Rfam family "Bacterial small subunit ribosomal RNA", at positions 509 to 809 of the family's 1533-position model. The record is from RNAcentral.